Molecule: ribosomal RNA, 513 nt
Filed under: uncultured Actinomycetes bacterium
Lineage: Bacteria; Bacillati; Actinomycetota; Actinomycetes
Description: bacterial SSU rRNA
Rfam family: Bacterial small subunit ribosomal RNA
Source: RNAcentral
UGGGGAAUAUUGCGCAAUGGACGAAAGUCUGACGCAGCAACGCCGCGUGAGGGAUGACGGCCUUCGGGUUGUAAACCUCUUUCAGCAGGGACGAAGCGAGAGUGACGGUACCUGCAGAAGAAGGACCGGCCAACUACGUGCCAGCAGCCGCGGUAAUACGUAGGGUCCGAGCGUUGUCCGGAAUUAUUGGGCGUAAAGGGCUCGUAGGCGGUUCGUCACGUCGGGAGUGAAAACUCGAGGCUUAACCCCGAGCCUGCUUCCGAUACGGGCAGACUAGAGGUAGACAGGGGAGAGCGGAACUCCUGGUGUAGCGGUGGAAUGCGCAGAUAUCAGGAAGAACACCGGUGGCGAAGGCGGCUCUCUGGGCCGUUACCUGACGCUGAGGAGCGAAAGCGUGGGUAGCGAACAGGAUUAGAUACCUGGUAGUCCACGCCGUAAACGUUGGGCGCUAGGUGUGGGGGACAUUCCACGUCCUCCGUGCCGCAGCUAACGCAUUAAGCGCCCGCCUCGGGG